GCUUUUUUAUAAAAUGACCAUCCAGAAAUUCGAAAUUGGCAAAAUAAUUCUAUCAAAAUUUUAUUUAUAAAACUAACCCUUCUUUCGCCACAUGGGCGCCAUGUCAGGAUUCCUUACAAAGACGGUGAAUCAUUUACCAUCUUUGUAAUAUUUAUUGUGAAGACGGUGAAGGCAGUAAAUCGCGUUUACCGUUUUUAGUGAAGAUUUGCACAUCAGAGUAGGGAUUUGCACUAAAUACGGUAAAUGGUUCAUCGCCUUCAUACAACAAAUAUUAUAAACGAUUCACCGUUUUUUUUAGAAAUUCCUGACGUGGCGAAAUGAGGAUUAGUUUUGCAAAUAAAAUUUUGAUAAGGUUAGUUUGUCAAAUUCGAAUUUCUGGAGGUUCAUUUUAU
This 392-nucleotide long non-coding RNA is filed under the name Ananas comosus (pineapple). RNAcentral describes it as "long non-coding RNA (ACOM_LNC034159)". Lineage: Eukaryota; Viridiplantae; Streptophyta; Magnoliopsida; Poales; Bromeliaceae. The record is from RNAcentral.